RNAcentral lists this ribosomal RNA (775 nucleotides) under uncultured Neocallimastigales. RNAcentral describes it as "partial large subunit ribosomal RNA". It matches the Rfam family "Eukaryotic large subunit ribosomal RNA", at positions 24 to 616 of the family's 3401-position model. Lineage: Eukaryota; Fungi; Neocallimastigomycota; Neocallimastigomycetes; Neocallimastigales. The record is from RNAcentral.
GUAGUCUCGCACAGAUGCAUAUCAAUAAGCGGAGGAAAAGAAACUAACAAGGAUUCCCCUAGUAACGGCGAGUGAAGCGGGAAGAGCUCAAAUUUGAAAUCUUAAAGGGUUUCCCUUUACGAAUUGUAGUUUAAAGAAGUGUUUUCUGUUGAGGUUUUGGUAAAAGUUCUUAUGGAAUAGGACAUCAUAGAGGGUGAGAAUCCCGUAUUUGACCUUUACUUUCAACUUUGUGAUACACUUUCAAAGAGUCGGAUUGUUUGGGAAUGCAGUCCAAAAUGGGUGGUAAAUUUCAUCUAAAGCUAAAUAUUGGCGAGAGACCGAUAGCGAACAAGUACCGUGAGGGAAAGAUGAAAAGAACUUUGAAAAGAGAGUUAAACAGUACGUGAAAUUGUCAAAAGGGAAGCGUUUGACACCAGUGUUGCUUUUCUGAAAAUCAAUUAAAGAACUGUUUAUGCUAAGUUGUUUAGACUUUAUCAGCUAUCUGUUUAGUUUUGAGCUUUUCUUUAAUGCACUUUUCAGUUAACAAGUCAACAUCAAUUUCUUUUGCUGUAAAAAAGCUUGAGGAAGGUGGCUUGAGAUUCGUCUUAAGUGUUUAUAGCCUCUUGCCUAUGCAGUCGGAGAGAUUGAGGUCUGCAGCGUAGAUCCUUCGGGGCUAAAUGCAUUUGUGCUAAGUUAUAACAUUUUAUAGACAACUUGUUGACUAUGAUUUGUCUUGUAGCUUACUCGCUUAUGUUAUUUUACCUACGCUUAGGAUGUUGAGCGCAUGUCUCUCUCU